Molecule: ribosomal RNA, 90 nt
Filed under: Pseudomonas kilonensis
Lineage: Bacteria; Pseudomonadati; Pseudomonadota; Gammaproteobacteria; Pseudomonadales; Pseudomonadaceae
Also listed under: 1 other name
Source: RNAcentral
CAUUGGAACCACCUGAUCCCAUCCCGAACUCAGCAGUGAAACGAUGCAUCGCCGAUGGUAGUGUGGGGUUUCCCCAUGUGAGAGUAGGUC